AUCUGAUUGAUGUCAUGAGCCCAAAGUCAAAUAUCUACAGAUACAAGCACAAAACCAGAAGUACGCAUAUACACGUGUGCACUGUUUGCAUGUGAACAGGCAGGCUUUCCCUUUAGGAAUGGUGGUAGAAGCCGACGUGAAGCCUGGUGGUCUCACAAUAGCUCUGUAUGGGAAUGUCCCCCAUCCAACCUUUCCUUAACCAUAACCAUACAGAGAG
Molecule: non-coding RNA, 217 nt
Organism: Pelobates cultripes (western spadefoot toad)
Lineage: Eukaryota; Metazoa; Chordata; Amphibia; Anura; Pelobatidae
Source: the annotation of a GenBank genome assembly